GUACACGCUGUGACUAGCAUAUCAAUAAGCGGAGGAAAAGAAACUAACAAGGAUUCCCCUAGUAACGGCGAGUGAAGCGGGAAGAGCUCAAAUUUGAAAUCUUAAAGGGUUUCCCUUUACGAAUUGUAGUUUAAAGAAGUGUUUUCUGUUGAGGUUUUGGUAAAAGUUCUUUGGAAUAGGACAUCAUAGAGGGUGAGAAUCCCGUAUUUGACCUUUACUUUCAACUUUGUGAUACACUUUCAAAGAGUCGGAUUGUUUGGGAAUGCAGUCCAAAAUGGGUGGUAAAUUUCAUCUAAAGCUAAAUAUUGGCGAGAGACCGAUAGCGAACAAGUACCGUGAGGGAAAGAUGAAAAGAACUUUGAAAAGAGAGUUAAACAGUACGUGAAAUUGUCAAAAGGGAAGCGUUUGACACCAGUGUUGUUUUUCUGAAAAUCAAUUAAAGAACUGUUUAUGCUAAGCUGUUUAGACUUUAUCAGCUAUCUGUUUAGUUUUGAGCUUCUCUUUAAUGCACUUUUCAGUUAACAAGUCAACAUCAAUUUCUUUUGCUGUAGAAAAGCUUGAGGAAGGUGGCUUGAGAUUCGUCUUAAGUGUUUAUAGCCUCUUGCCUAUGCAGUCGGAGAGAUUGAGGUCUGCAGCGUAGAUCCUUCGGGGCUAAAUGCAUUUGUGCUAAGUUAUAGCAUUUUCAUAGACAACUUGUUGACUAUGAUUUGUCUUGUAGCUUACUCGCUUAUGUUAUUUUACCUACGCUUAGGAUGUUGACUGAUAUGUAGUCGUA
RNAcentral lists this ribosomal RNA (775 nucleotides) under uncultured Neocallimastigales. RNAcentral describes it as "partial large subunit ribosomal RNA". It matches the Rfam family "Eukaryotic large subunit ribosomal RNA", at positions 22 to 644 of the family's 3401-position model. Lineage: Eukaryota; Fungi; Neocallimastigomycota; Neocallimastigomycetes; Neocallimastigales. The record is from RNAcentral.